RNAcentral lists this ribosomal RNA (253 nucleotides) under uncultured bacterium. RNAcentral describes it as "partial 16S ribosomal RNA". It matches the Rfam family "Bacterial small subunit ribosomal RNA", at positions 524 to 776 of the family's 1533-position model. The record is from RNAcentral.
UACAGAGGGUGCAAGCGUUGUUCGGAAUUAUUGGGCGUAAAGGGCGCGUAGGCGGUGCGGUAAGUCUGUAGUGAAAUCUCUGGGCUCAACUCAGAGUCUGCUGCAGAAACUGCCGUGCUUGAGUGUGGGAGAGGUGAGUGGAAUUCCUGGUGUAGCGGUGAAAUGCGUAGAUAUCGGGAGGAACACCUGUGGCGAAAGCGGCUCACUGGACCACAACUGACGCUGAGGCGCGAAAGCUAGGGGAGCAAACAGG